Molecule: ribosomal RNA, 497 nt
Filed under: uncultured bacterium
Lineage: Bacteria
Description: partial 16S ribosomal RNA
Rfam family: Bacterial small subunit ribosomal RNA
Source: RNAcentral
GAUGAGCGCUGGCGGCGUGCCUAAUACAUGCAAGUCGAGCGAACGGACGAGAAGCUUGCUUUUCUGAUGUUAGCGGCGGACGGGUGAGUAACACGUGGAUAACCUACCUAUAAGACUGGGAUAACUUCGGGAAACCGGAGCUAAUACCGGAUAAUAUUUUGAACCGCAUGGUUCAAAAGUGAAAGACGGUCUUGCUGUCACUUAUAGAUGGAUCCGCGCUGCAUUAGCUAGUUGGUAAGGUAACGGCUUACCAAGGCAACGAUGCAUAGCCGACCUGAGAGGGUGAUCGGCCACACUGGAACUGAGACACGGUCCAGACUCCUACGGGAGGCAGCAGUAGGGAAUCUUCCGCAAUGGGCGAAAGCCUGACGGAGCAACGCCGCGUGAGUGAUGAAGGUCUUCGGAUCGUAAAACUCUGUUAUUAGGGAAGAACAUAUGUGUAAGUAACUGUGCACAUCUUGACGGUACCUAAUCAGAAAGCCACGGCUAACUACGUG